Molecule: long non-coding RNA, 707 nt
Organism: Onychomys torridus (southern grasshopper mouse)
Lineage: Eukaryota; Metazoa; Chordata; Mammalia; Rodentia; Cricetidae
Exons: 4
Source: RefSeq, a predicted model, not a curated record
GGUGCAUCAGCCAGAACAUCAUGGUAGGGGGCGGCCAGAGACCACUCGAUCGUGGUAUUGGACUCAGAAAGCUAAGGAAUCAGAGGUAACUAGUCCUGCUCCUGAGCCCUGGAAAACCUGAUGAACACGUCCCUUGUUCUUGCCCUGCUGGAUCAGCUGGAGCAUCAUGGCUCUGUCCUCUUCCUCUGCUCCAAGGGCUGCAGAAAAGGAAGGCUUGAUCUUUUCUGACCUUUCCUUCUAAGCAUCGUUGAAGCCUUUGGAUCCUUGCCACUGCUGUGUGUGAUAUGGGACCUCCCAAAUGUCCUGUCCUGACUGGAAACCUGCUCUGCUUCAGCCCUCUACAUGGAAUACAACCUUCAGUCCUGGAGGGGGAGGUUUGCUAAGCAGGAGAGCUGGGGGAGCUCUGUUUCCUAAGGACUAAGAUUGAACCGAGGUCCACAUGAAUGUUCUACCAUCGAUCUACAUCAAACUCCCUUUUUAUUUUAUUUUGAGACAAGAUCUCACUGAGUUGCCCAUACUGGCCUCUCAAACUUGGAACACUCAUGCCUUAGACUCCCAAGUAACCAGUAUUAUAGACAUGAACCGUUGUGCCCUGUCUGGAGGGUUUCUUGGUUAACCACCUCUGUAAGAAUGAGCUGUGGGGGGAGGGGGGGCAAACACCCAGCUUUAUGAAUUAACACUCUGCCUCUCCCAUAUACGGCACAAUA